GGAAUCACCAAUCGGCACUCGAGGAAUCAGUUCUCGGAACAGUGAGCGAAGCUCGGUCCACCGGAAUGAAAGAAGACACUAUCUGUCAGUUCUCGAGGAAGCAGUACUCUAUAAAGCUCGGCCACCGAGGAAGCAGUUCUCCGAUUUCUCUGAUUUCGAUCGACCUUCAUUCACUGUUCCGAGAACUGAUAUUACCGAUCCACCUGUCGAACUCCUCUGGUUCUGCUCGGCCUUCGAUUC
RNAcentral lists this long non-coding RNA (240 nucleotides) under Brassica napus (rape). RNAcentral describes it as "long non-coding RNA (BNAP_LNC022580)". The record is from RNAcentral. Lineage: Eukaryota; Viridiplantae; Streptophyta; Magnoliopsida; Brassicales; Brassicaceae.